CCUCUGGACCCAGUACCACCCCCUCAGUGACAAUCACAGCUCACACUUUAUUGAGAUAACAGCCUCCUACUGACUGAAGUGUGGAUGAAGUACCAGUGUAGGAGAAAUAAGCAUCUCCCUGUCUUUAAUAAACAUCAUCAGACUACUAAGUGAAUUAUAAACUUUAAAGCUACUGUAAGGAAUUUUAGGAUCCCCUCUACAGAUGUUGUUAUUAUCGUUUAAACAGUUGUAAAAUGUAUUUAGGGGCACAUGUGAGCAUAAAAAAAAAGAUUAGGAGAGGCAACAAGUGUGUUUUUUUCAUGUAAAUGCCACGGGGAAGUUAGUUUUAGGUUGGAUAUUCAAAGGGCAUUUACUGCGGAUCUACCAUGUCUUCUCACUCUCCGUAACCGAUAAUGGCAACAGCAGUGGGAUUAAAUCUACUCGGCAUCCUCGCUGUCAACAUCAGGUGUUAAAUAAGGGACCGUCAAUAAAUUACCAAUUGAUGUUCUCAAAAAAGGCUGUUUUCCUUUAAUAGCUUCCACGUCAUGUGACCAAUUGACGUAAAAUUAAUUUCAAAUAAUAAGACUUAUGUUGACCAAUAAGACACGCCUUUUUAUUUCCCUAAUUUGUCCGCAUAAAUUUUUCGUGUUAAAUUUAACCCUCUAAUGCGUGACAACACAAAUUACGGCCAGAAAAUUCAAUUUUUUUGGAGCUGAAAUGUUUAUUUCACUUACUAUUGAAAACCAAAAAAAUCAAAAUGCCCUGAAAAUUUAACAAAUAUAUUUAUUCAUCUUGUUUGGAAUAUUAGAUGUUUUUGGAAACUGAUAGAUUACAAGAGGACAUUUUUGUCAUUUAUCAGACUGUAUUCAGGUGUUUUUUUUAGUAAUUUGUUGAUCAUGUUGAUUUGAUAGAAGUAUAUAAAAUUAUCAAAUAUAAUCCAAAAGGCAAUAAAGGGCUCAAUAAUAAUACUCAUGUCGAGCAAUAACACACACUUCUUUAUCUCCCUAAUUUGCCCUCAUAAAUGUUUGUGUUAAAUUUAUUGGCAAGUUUUGAACAUUUUCUUCAAUAGCUUCCAUGUCAUGUGACCAAAAGACCUAAAAUUGAUUUCAAAUAAUAGUACUUAUAUCGACCAAUAAAACAAACAUUAUUUGAUCAAUUUUCAUUGUGCCUCUAAAGUUCUUUGUGUGCUCCUUACUUUUUCAAUUUAGGAGCUCAUUGCAUCCAUGUGUAACAUCUUUAUUAAAUCUAUCAUACUUAUAUUGAGCAGAGAAUAAGACUAAAGAUGCUUACACACGCCUAGAUUCAUGUGCGCAGAAGCAACAUCGCUGAGUUGUUGUGGUCAUUUUCUCCUUGAUAGAAGCCAAAGAGAACACCUGUCAAUGAGAGCGACCCCAAUGAUAGAUAGCCCACUCUGCGGGGCCAGUGGGGCCGCUGGAACACGGGGACAUUCACUUAGGAAACCCCUCCAGUUCUGCUGUACAAUUUAUACCCUCCAUCCUCUCCCAAGUCAAAAGCUGUCUGUGUCAGUGUCAUUUCCACUACAAGCCUAUAGCUGGAACCGCGAGAGGUGCGAGGCAACUUCUUUCUCGAAAACAAAUAAGCGGCACGAAACAACACAACCUCCCUAUGGGGAAGCCUUGGAAUGGAUUAUCUGUCUUUAAACACCCACACUCCUUCUUGUGUUUCUCUCUUCUCUCCUCGACGUCUCCUGUUCUGUGAUCCAAAUUAUAAAUCUCAACUGGAGGGUGAGAGAUAAAAAGUUCCCAAAGGAGAGCGGCUUUUAUGUAAAGAAGAGGGUGCGGUGAGUUGUUGUAGAUGCAAAAGGGGAAGAUGCAGAGAUGACUGUUCGGCUCUCAAACGACACUUAGUGUUUUUUUUCUAGGAGGUGGGAUCAAAGUAAAUACUCAGCUUUGACUUUACUUAAGUGCCCUGGCUGUGGAAUAAAACUCCCUAACUGCAGGUUUUGGUGUGAAUACCUCGAGAUAUUCUUUUAUCCCUGAACAGCUACAAGGAAGACCGACCUUCUUUUGGUUGAUCACAACAUUUACACAGCUGCCAUUUUACUUUUAACACCCUCUCAUAUGCGUACCCUAAAAUCUUUCAGCAUUUACUGGUUAAUCAGUGGGACUAAAGGUCCUUACACACUGGGAACGUUUUUUUAUGUGCGAUUAUUUUAGAUGUCAAUAUUUUAUUCCAAAUUCGUAUCCUGCCAAUACAAGCGUUCACAACAGCAACGUUUUCCCGUCCUGCGAUAUUGCAGGUAUUUAAAUCUAAAGACAAGCUUUUUGAAUGGGUGUGUAUGGGGCUUCCAGUGAUUUUGCAGCGAGCCUCUAGUGGACACUCCAGGAACUACAAUUUCAAACGCUUGGACUUUAUUUCUCAAGACUAAAGGUCCUUUCACACCGGGAGCCUUUUUGUCGUGCGAUUAUUUUGGAUUUCGAUAUAUUUUUUUUCCGAAUCCUGUCAGUACAAGCGCUCACAUCAGCGACUUUCUCCCGUCCUGCGAUAUUGCGGCUUUUUUUUUUUCGGAUCAUGGUCGAAUUUUCUAAAGUUUCGCAUACUAUGUGUCCACCUCUGACCAAUCAGAUUUCGUGUUGUUGCAACGUCAGAUUCACCAGUGUAUCCAACAUGGCCGACCGGCUGAUUGUUUACGUGUCGGAGAACAGAGUGCUUUUUGAUAAAAAAACACAAAUAUUACAAAGAUAACGACCUGAAGGACUUUUCUCAUGACGAUGGUUUGUGUGCUUUAACAGUUUGCUGAACGUCUUUGUUUUAACUCUCAUCUGUGCUAAGUAACUUUAGCUCAUAAGCUAACUGACGAGCUAAAGUUACUUAGCUAAUCAAAACUGAAAACAGUCAGCCCCCCCCGGAAAGUCGAAAAAUCGCAUUGCGCUUGAUGUGUACAGUCAGGCGCGUCAAAAUUCGCCUCCGAAUAUUUCCGAAUUCCGCGUUGUAAAUUUGCCGUAACCUAACCUAACACAACCAUGUUUAGCCAAGAUUACAGUGGUUUUAAUGAGUUGUUCUGUUAAUAUUUAGUUAUUUCCUGUAAGCACAGCAACAUCUCAACACUACAGCGAUCUGUUGUGUUAAUAUAGCUAGCUUAAAAUUGCAUAUAGUGUCUUUAAAGUUAAUACGGCGCCCUCUAAAUGUUUCCAUGACUGUCUUUUCAGUUGCUAAUCAGCUCAGGAGUGGGGAUACUGAUUUCCUACAUCUACCUACAAUCACAAUCAUUAAUUAACAUAUCUGAAUGAUAUCAUUGUUUAAUUUGAGCUUCCUACCCUAGAAAAAUGGCUGCUGUGGGAGAACGGUGAAUGGUAGACCAAGAUAUCAAUAAAUGUAAUUUGUUGCAAAUGAGUGAAAAAUGUUAAAUCCACUGUGACUCUUUCGGAUUUUACCAACCACAGGCCAAUCCUAGCAUACUGUACAAUUACCUGACCUUUUACUCUGAAAUACGUGUAUUUCACACUUAAUUUCCUCUUUGUGGAAAAGAAAAUGUUAUUGGAAAAAAUAUAGACUCCUCUUGGCAGACACCAUAUGAAGUCUACUUAUUAUUGGCUCCUCUGAAUGGUUGAAAUCCAGGGGAAUUUUCUCCACAGGCACAGAUUGGCUUCCAUGGCAACAAGCACAGACUUACAUGAACCAAAGCCUGGCCUUGUUAACCUCAGUGCUUGCACCUGACAAGAAAACACGGUACUACAGUCAAAACAUCAUGUCCCUACUUGUGUUUAACUUACUUUCUGAAAUAAUGUACUGUCAAGGACACUUUCACAGUCUUGUCCAAACACUAUGAGCCCCUUUUUUUCCUGUUUUUAACAAACUAGAGCUGUAACACCUCUCGCUUGUAUUAGAAGGUGAAAAACCUUUAGCUAUUAGGCAUAUUUUCAAUUUUUAUAGGAGGAUAAACAGAUUCUUUCGAAACAUGCCUCGGAAACACCAUCUUGACUCGAGGUUACAGUAUUUCCUUUAAAAACUGGAGUUGUUAUUGACGAACAACCAACACACUGUCAAAGCUUAAAAGCAAUGGGUAAUCAUGCCCCCGCUUUAUGUGACCCUCGGCUCAUUUCGACACACAAACACAAGAUUAUGAUGCAAAAAGAGAGACCAACAAUGUAACCCACACAGGUAACAAAUGCGCCAAACACUGCACCAAGUAUUACACAGGGUAGAGUACAAGAAGAGUUGUGGGUAAGGCUGCAUAUGAGUAGCAUAUGAGGUAGCACACUAGGUGGCGUACAAGGUAGUGUACAAAGUAGCAUAUGAAGAAGGAUACCAGUGGUGUAUGGGGUAGGGUUGGGCAUCGAGUCCCGAUCAUCGAUGGGGACCGGGACUAACAUUCCGAUUCUCCCAGAACCGUUCAAAUAUUUAAAUUUGGAUUCCAAGUUUUUGAUACUCGAAGAAAUAGCCACCCAACACCAAC
This is a non-coding RNA of Xyrichtys novacula (pearly razorfish), 4396 nucleotides long. The record is from the annotation of a GenBank genome assembly. NCBI's taxonomy places the organism in Eukaryota, Metazoa, Chordata, Actinopteri, Labriformes, Labridae.